AUACGGAGGGUCCAAGCGUUAUCCGGAUUCAUUGGGUUUAAAGGGUCCGCAGGCGGGAAAAUAAGUCAGUGGUGAAAGCCUACAGCUCAACUGUAGAACUGCCAUUGAUACUGUUUUUCUUGAGUAUAGAUGAAGUGGGCGGAAUAUAUCAUGUAGCGGUGAAAUGCAUAGAUAUGAUAUAGAACACCGAUUGCGAAGGCAGCUCACUAAACUAUUACUGACGCUCAGGGACGAAAGCGUGGGGAGUGAACAGGAUUAGAAACCCUAGUAGUCC
Molecule: ribosomal RNA, 274 nt
Filed under: uncultured bacterium
Lineage: Bacteria
Description: partial 16S ribosomal RNA
Rfam family: Bacterial small subunit ribosomal RNA
Source: RNAcentral